GGGAGAAUUCCCAAGCCAUGCAUUUUUAAUUCCCUAAGAAGCAGCAGCCAUUUCAGCGCCCGCCCCGAGCGCGGCCUUGGCGGCGCCGAGCGGCCCCAGAGGCUCCCUGGAUGUUCCCAUUCCCUGGAUGUUCCCGUUCCCGAAUUUCCGGGCUGGAGGUGGAUGAGGAGGGAGCGCUGUGAGCCCGGCCCGUGACUCUGCUGCCAGGGCCCCGGGCGGGCGCGGUGCCGCUGCGGGAGCGGGAGCGGAGCGGGCGCGGGC
Passer montanus (Eurasian tree sparrow) is the source of this 261-nucleotide long non-coding RNA. RefSeq lists it as uncharacterized. The transcript has 3 exons. NCBI's taxonomy places the organism in Eukaryota, Metazoa, Chordata, Aves, Passeriformes, Passeridae. The record is from RefSeq and is a predicted model, not a curated record.